This 274-nucleotide long non-coding RNA is filed under the name Lathyrus oleraceus (garden pea). RNAcentral describes it as "Pisum sativum (pea) long non-coding RNA (PSAT_LNC026964)". The record is from RNAcentral. Lineage: Eukaryota; Viridiplantae; Streptophyta; Magnoliopsida; Fabales; Fabaceae.
AAAAGAGUAACUGAAUAGAAACUAUAAUAUCAAUUUAUGCAAAUAAUACAGAACAAGUCAUAUGUCUCAACAAAUCAAAAUAGGAUCGUCUCCUGAUCCCUAAUUAUUAAAACAUAGCUACUCGUACUAACAAGAAUUAUAACAGAAGUAAUAAAGAAACAAUAUAUGAAUAUCUGGUUAGAACUUGGCUUUCGCUGAUGAAAAUCUUCGUUCCAGAGCUCCAUAAAUUGCUUUUUCGUCAAACUUUUGUACCAAGAAUGUCCCCCAAUUUUUC